Schistosoma mattheei is the source of this 46-nucleotide non-coding RNA. Lineage: Eukaryota; Metazoa; Platyhelminthes; Trematoda; Strigeidida; Schistosomatidae. The record is from Rfam.
GCACUGCUGAGGAGUCCCAUACUAAGACGAAACGGCAGUCCAGUGC